RNAcentral lists this long non-coding RNA (412 nucleotides) under Homo sapiens (human). RNAcentral's name for it is "HSALNT0408127". Lineage: Eukaryota; Metazoa; Chordata; Mammalia; Primates; Hominidae. The record is from RNAcentral.
GGAGUUUUCGGAGUCCAAAAUGGCUUGAAGUUGCUAGAACAGAAUCUUUCAAAGACUCAUUUAGAAGUCCUUGAAAUUCGCCGCCUUCAUGUAAUAUUCUAGAAAAAUGGGACCUAGCCGCGUGAGGGAUAAGAGCUAUUUAGUCCGUUAUCCUGCCUCCAAAGUACUUCAAAGUGAAAAAAUAAAAGUAGGAAAGCAAAAAUAUACCUAAUACCACUGAGGGAAAUUUUUAAAGGUAAAUAUGAACAAGAGCUUGUUGAAUACCUAUUGUGUCCUAGAAACUGCCAGGAGCGCUGAAAAAAGAGGACAUCAAAGAUUAUUUUUUAAAGUUUUUGUUUAUUUAUGGCUUUUUUUGAGAUGGAAUUUCGCUCUUGUAGCCCAGGCUGGCGUGCAGUGGCGCCAUCUCGGCUCA